GGAGUAUAGCUCAGUCGGUUCAGAGCAUCUGCCUUACAAGCAGAGGGUCAUUGGUUCGAAUCCGAUUACUCCC
This 73-nucleotide transfer RNA is filed under the name bovine gut metagenome. It matches the Rfam family "tRNA". From Rfam's summary of the family: Transfer RNA (tRNA) molecules are approximately 80 nucleotides in length. Their secondary structure includes four short double-helical elements and three loops (D, anti-codon, and T loops). The record is from RNAcentral.